AUGAGGAUCCUUAGGAUGAUCCAUGAUCCUGAUCCUGAAGCUCUUCUGAGGAUCACUAUCUGCCAAAGAAACAAGGAUCACUUGUUAGGAUAUUAUUAUUUAUGUAAUAUUAACGAGUUAUAUUUUGCCGAAUCUUAUCUAUAACUAACUCAACGGAUAUAUAGCCGUUAAGAAUGAACUAUCCGUUGCGAUCUGACGUCAUGGAGAUGACAGCCCUGCACAAAUCAUCAUUAUAAAUAGAAAUAGGGAUAGGAUCGUUUGCAUUUAAAUUCGAGAACUCUUCCCUUUAUAACCGCGAUCAGAGGGUUGAACAGGUAUUCCCCUUCUCCUUCUAUCUUGCUUGCUCUGUUUUUCUUUUUCUUUCCGUCGUCUUGAAAAAAUGUUGCUCCGGAACUCCCCGCACAAGGAUCCUAAGAAGAACAGUCCCUUGAAGAGUCAAGGGAUCAUCAAGGAUUCUCCCACUGAGAGGUGUUGUUUUACUGAUCCUUACAUUGACAAAAUCCGUCAUUGU
RNAcentral lists this long non-coding RNA (511 nucleotides) under Helianthus annuus (common sunflower). The record is from RNAcentral. Lineage: Eukaryota; Viridiplantae; Streptophyta; Magnoliopsida; Asterales; Asteraceae.